GUGGGGAAUAUUGCACAAUGGGCGGAAGCCUGAUGCAGCAACGCCGCGUGAGGGAUGACGGCCUUCGGGUUGUAAACCUCUUUUAGCAGGGAAGAAGCGAAAGUGACGGUACCUGCAGAAAAAGCGCCGGCUAACUACGUGCCAGCAGCCGCGGUAAUACGUAGGGCGCAAGCGUUAUCCGGAAUUAUUGGGCGUAAAGAGCUCGUAGGCGGUUUGUCGCGUCUGCUGUGAAAACCCGAGGCUCAACCUCGGGCCUGCAGUGGGUACGGGCAGACUAGAGUGCGGUAGGGGAGAUUGGAAUUCCUGGUGUAGCGGUGGAAUGCGCAGAUAUCAGGAGGAACACCGAUGGCGAAGGCAGAUCUCUGGGCCGUAACUGACGCUGAGGAGCGAAAGCGUGGGGAGCGAACAGGAUUAGAAACCCGAGUAGUCC
RNAcentral lists this ribosomal RNA (430 nucleotides) under uncultured bacterium. RNAcentral's name for it is "partial 16S ribosomal RNA". It matches the Rfam family "Bacterial small subunit ribosomal RNA", at positions 354 to 796 of the family's 1533-position model. The record is from RNAcentral.